UUUAAUGGCUGCAGUAAUUUGACUGUACAAAGGUAGCAUAAUAAUUAGUUUUUUAAUUAAAAGCUUGUAUGAAAGGUUGGACGAAAUAAAAACUGUCUUUAUUUAAUUUAUUUUAGAAUUUAAUUUUUAAAUUAAAAAGUUUAAAUAUAUAUAAAAGACGAGAAGACCCUAUAGAGUUUUAUAUUUUAUUAUAUAUAAUUAAUUUAGAUUUAUUAAUUUUAUUUAUAAUAGUAUAUUUUAUUGGGGUAAUAUAAAGAUUAAAAUAAUUCUUUAAUUUUUAAUUUAUUAAUUUAUAUAUUUUUUGAUCCAUUAAUAAUGAUUAUAAGUUUAAAUUACCUUAGGGAUAACAGCGUAAUUUUUUUAGAGAGUUCAUAUUGAUAAAAAAGUUUGCGACCUCGAUGUUGGAUUAAAGGUUAAUUUAGGUGCAAAAGUUUAAAUAAUUUGGUCUGUUCGACCAUUAAAUCUUUACAUGAUCUGAGUUCAGACCGGUGUGAGCCAGGUCGGUUUCUAUCUUUAUAAAGUUAAUAUAUUUUAGUACGAAAGGACCAAAUAUUAAUUAUAAUAAUUAUAUUUUGAAUAUUAUUAAAUUAUUUUGGCAGAUUAGUGCAAUGAAUUUAGAAUUCAUGUAUGUAAUUAAAUUACAAGUAAUACUUGUUUUAUAUAGAUUAUAUUUUUUUAUUUAUUAUUAUAUUAUUAUUAAUUAUUUGUGUAUUAAUUGGGGUUGCUUUUUUAACUUUAUUAGAGCGUAA
RNAcentral lists this ribosomal RNA (749 nucleotides) under Microtyphlus serratensis. RNAcentral describes it as "partial large subunit ribosomal RNA". The stretch from base 343 to 502 matches the Rfam family "Bacterial large subunit ribosomal RNA", at positions 2473 to 2632 of the family's 2925-position model. The record is from RNAcentral. Lineage: Eukaryota; Metazoa; Arthropoda; Insecta; Coleoptera; Carabidae.